This 84-nucleotide transfer RNA is filed under the name Candidatus Aramenus sulfurataquae. RNAcentral's name for it is "tRNA-Leu". It matches the Rfam family "tRNA". Rfam says of the family: Transfer RNA (tRNA) molecules are approximately 80 nucleotides in length. Their secondary structure includes four short double-helical elements and three loops (D, anti-codon, and T loops). Further hydrogen bonds mediate the characteristic L-shaped molecular structure. tRNAs have two regions of fundamental functional importance: the anti-codon, which is responsible for specific mRNA codon recognition, and the 3' end, to which the tRNAs corresponding amino acid is attached (by aminoacyl-tRNA synthetases). tRNAs cope with the degeneracy of the genetic code in two manners: having more than one tRNA (with a specific anti-codon) for a particular amino acid; and 'wobble' base-pairing, i.e. permitting non-standard base-pairing at the 3rd anti-codon position. RNAcentral also lists the same sequence under 2 other names. The record is from RNAcentral. Lineage: Archaea; Thermoproteati; Thermoproteota; Thermoprotei; Sulfolobales; Sulfolobaceae.
GCGGGAGUGCCCGAGCUGGUCGAAGGGGGCGGACUCAAGAUCCGCUGGCGAAGGCCGUCCGGGGUUCAAAUCCCCGCUCCCGCA